Molecule: ribosomal RNA, 253 nt
Filed under: uncultured bacterium
Lineage: Bacteria
Description: partial 16S ribosomal RNA
Rfam family: Bacterial small subunit ribosomal RNA
Source: RNAcentral
UACGGAGGGUGCAAGCGUUACCCGGAAUUACUGGGCGUAAAGCGCGUGUAGGCGGCCGCGCAGGUCGGGUGUGAAAUCCCUCGGCUCAACCGAGGACGUGCACUCGAAACCGCGCGGCUCGAGUCCCGGAGAGGGUGGUGGAAUUCUCGGCGUAGAGGUGAAAUUCGUAGAGUUCGGGAGGAACACCGGCGGCGAAGGCGGCCACCUGGACGGAGACUGACGCUGAGACGCGAAAGCGUGGGGAGCAAACAGG